Molecule: long non-coding RNA, 251 nt
Organism: Saccostrea cuccullata (small rock oyster)
Lineage: Eukaryota; Metazoa; Mollusca; Bivalvia; Ostreida; Ostreidae
Exons: 3
Source: RefSeq, a predicted model, not a curated record
UACAUGAAUUAUAUUUCUUCAAUAACAUGCUGUCACAGGGUUAAACACUGAUUAUCAAUGUUUUUCAAGAAACCCAAGGCAGCUGACCAGAAAGGAAAUGUUGCAGCUCCAAGAAUUCCUGAAUCAGAAGCAUUGCCAAAGAACUGUGAAGUAUUGACCACAGAAUGGGGAAGCAGAGUCUAUUUACUGGGGACUAAUGAAUUCUGUACAAAAUGUCUACGUAAUGUAUCAAAGGUUAUCCAACAAAUUCG